Molecule: ribosomal RNA, 253 nt
Filed under: uncultured bacterium
Lineage: Bacteria
Description: partial 16S ribosomal RNA
Rfam family: Bacterial small subunit ribosomal RNA
Source: RNAcentral
UACGUAGGCAGCAAGCGUUGUUCGGAAUUACUGGGCGUAAAGAGUGUGUAGGCGGUGCUCUAAGUCUGUCGUGAAAUCUCCCGGCUUAACUGGGAGGGUGCGCCGGAAACUGGAGUGCUCGAGCGUGGGAGAGGAAAGCGGAAUUCCUGGUGUAGCGGUGAAAUGCGUAGAUAUCAGGAGGAACACCUGCGGUGUAGACGGCUUUCUGGACCAUUGCUGACGCUGAGACACGAAAGCGUGGGUAGCAAACAGG